RNAcentral lists this ribosomal RNA (1161 nucleotides) under Clostridium perfringens. RNAcentral describes it as "partial 23S ribosomal RNA". It matches the Rfam family "Bacterial large subunit ribosomal RNA", at positions 366 to 1530 of the family's 2925-position model. Lineage: Bacteria; Bacillati; Bacillota; Clostridia; Eubacteriales; Clostridiaceae. The record is from RNAcentral.
AAUAGUCCUGUAAGUGAAACGAGAAGACCACGAGUUAUGAUCCAGAGUACCACGAGACACGUGAAACCUUGUGGGAAGCAGGGAGGACCACCUCCCAAGGCUAAAUACUACCUGAUGACCGAUAGUGAAGCAGUACCGUGAGGGAAAGGUGAAAAGAACCCCGGGAGGGGAGUGAAAUAGAACCUGAAACCGUGUGCCUACAACCGCUCAGAGCCCCUUAUGAGGGUGAUGAGGUGCUUUUUGUAGAACGAGCCAACGAGUUACGGUAUGUAGCAAGGUUAAGUACUUAAGGUACGGAGCCGAAGGGAAACCGAGUCUGAAUAGGGCGACUAGUUGCAUGCCGUAGACCCGAAACCGGGUGACCUAUCCAUGGCCAGGUUGAAGCGAGGGUAAAACCUCGUGGAGGACCGAACCACGUUGCUGUUGAAAAAGCAUGGGAUGAGCUGUGGAUAGCGGAGAAAUUCCAAUCGAACCCGGAGAUAGCUGGUUCUCUCCGAAAUAGCUUUAGGGCUAGCGUCGAGUAUGAGUAGUGGAGGUAGAGCACUGAAUGGGCUAGGGGGCAUAGCGCUUACCGAACCUUAUCAAACUCCGAAUGCCACAUACUUUGAGCUCGGCAGUCAGACUACGAAUGAUAAGAUCCGUGGUCAAAAGGGAAACAGCCCAGAUCGUCAGCUAAGGUCCCAAAGUGUAAGUUAAGUGGGAAAGGAUGUGAGAUUUCUAAGACAACUAGGAUGUUGGCUUAGAAGCAGCCAUUCAUUAAAAGAGUGCGUAAUAGCUCACUAGUCGAGAGAUCUUGCGCCGAAAAUGUAACGGGGCUAAACUUACCACCGAAGCUACGGGCUUGAACAUAGUUCAAGCGGUAGGAGAGCGUCGUAACCGGGCUGAAGUCGUACCGUAAGGAGCGGUGGACUGGUUACGAGUGAGAAUGUUGGCAUCAGUAGCGAGAUGUGGGUGAGAAUCCCACAGGCCGAAAACCUAAGGUUUCCUCAGGAAGGUUCGUCCGCUGAGGGUUAGUCGGGACCUAAGCCGAGGCCGAAAGGCGUAGGUGAUGGACAACUGGUUGAUAUUCCAGUACCACUACCAUCGUUAUUAUCGAUGGCGUGACGCAGGAGGAUAGUGUGUGCUAGCUAUUGGAUGCUAGUCUAAGCGUUUAGGCAGUGA